Molecule: long non-coding RNA, 205 nt
Filed under: Trifolium pratense (red clover)
Lineage: Eukaryota; Viridiplantae; Streptophyta; Magnoliopsida; Fabales; Fabaceae
Description: long non-coding RNA (TPRA_LNC007856)
Source: RNAcentral
GGGUUAUAUUGACUCCAAGAGUAAGUUUUAUAACUUACUCCAAAUCUUGACCUUUGAUUUUAAUUCCAAUUAAUGGCUAAGAUUGAUUGAUAAUAAUUAUUAAGGUGAGACUUAUUUCUUUGUUGCACUGGAAAAUAAGGAUGAUCAAAACAUACCUCAAAUAGAAUGAAUUAAUUAAUUCUUCUACCAUAAAAAAAGAAGAAAU